RNAcentral lists this ribosomal RNA (429 nucleotides) under Bacteroidota bacterium. RNAcentral's name for it is "Bacteroidetes bacterium partial 16S ribosomal RNA". It matches the Rfam family "Bacterial small subunit ribosomal RNA", at positions 355 to 776 of the family's 1533-position model. Lineage: Bacteria; Pseudomonadati; Bacteroidota. The record is from RNAcentral.
UAGGGAAUCUUCCGCAAUGGACGCAAGUCUGACGGAGCAACGCCGCGUGAGUGAAGAAGGAUUUCGGUUCGUAAAACUCUGUUGUUAGAGAAGAACAGCGCAUAGAGUAACUGUUAUGCGUGUGACGGUAUCUAACCAGAAAGCCACGGCUAACUACGUGCCAGCAGCCGCGGUAAUACGUAGGUGGCAAGCGUUGUCCGGAUUUAUUGGGCGUAAAGCGAGCGCAGGCGGUCAAUUAAGUCUGAUGUGAAAGCCCCCGGCUCAACCGGGGAGGGUCAUUGGAAACUGGUUAACUUGAGUGCAGAAGAGGAGAGUGGAAUUCCAUGUGUAGCGGUGAAAUGCGUAGAUAUAUGGAAGAACACCAGUGGCGAAGGCGACUCUCUGGUCUGUAACUGACGCUGAGGCUCGAAAGCGUGAGUAGCAAACAGG